UCGCUUAGUCAGCAUAUAUACUGAAAUUCAGUUGAUACAGAGAAAAUUACCACAGUUCAUGUGCAAAGAUGACAUGAAAAUUCGUGAAGUAUUACCUAUUAAA
Molecule: small nuclear RNA, 103 nt
Filed under: Catagonus wagneri (Chacoan peccary)
Lineage: Eukaryota; Metazoa; Chordata; Mammalia; Artiodactyla; Tayassuidae
Source: RNAcentral